This 402-nucleotide ribosomal RNA is filed under the name uncultured Candidatus Chloroploca sp. RNAcentral describes it as "bacterial SSU rRNA". It matches the Rfam family "Bacterial small subunit ribosomal RNA", at positions 353 to 772 of the family's 1533-position model. Lineage: Bacteria; Bacillati; Chloroflexota; Chloroflexia; Chloroflexales; Oscillochloridaceae. The record is from RNAcentral.
AGCAAGGAAUUUUCCCCAAUGGGCGCAAGCCUGAGGGAGCAACGCCGCGUGCAGGACGACGGCCUUCGGGUUGUAAACUGCUUUUGGGGGGGAAGAGACUGACGGUACCCCCCGAAUAAGCCCCGGCUAACUCCGUGCCAGCAGCCGCGGUAAGACGGAGGGGGCAAGCGUUGUCCGGAAUCACUGGGCGUAAAGCGCACGUAGGCGGUCUGGUGCGUCGGCGCUGAAACCUGCGGGCUCAACCCGCAGACGCGUGCCGAUACGACCGGACUGGAGGCAGGCAGAGGGUGGCGGAAUUCCGGGUGUAGUGGUGAAAUGCGUAGAGAUCCGGAGGAACGCCUGUGGCGAAAGCGGCCACCUGGGCCUGAACUGACGCUGAGGUGCGAAAGCGUGGGGAGCGAA